RNAcentral lists this ribosomal RNA (384 nucleotides) under fungal sp. RNAcentral describes it as "partial small subunit ribosomal RNA". It matches the Rfam family "Eukaryotic small subunit ribosomal RNA", at positions 582 to 975 of the family's 1831-position model. Lineage: Eukaryota; Fungi. The record is from RNAcentral.
AUUCCAGCUCCAAUAGCGUAUAUUAAAGUUGUUGCAGUUAAAAAGCUCGUAGUCGAAUUUUGGGCUUGGACAACCGGUCUGCCGCAAGGCAUGUACUGGUUGGCCAGGUCUUCCUUCUGGGGACCAGCGUGUGCUUUAUUGUAUGCGUUGGAUAACCAGGACUUUUACUUUGAAAAAAUUAGAGUGUUUAAGGCAGGCUUACGCUUGAAUACAUUAGCAUGGAAUAAUGGAAUAGGACUUUGGUUCUAUUUUGUUGGUUUCUAGGACCAAAGUAUGAUUAAUAGGGACAGUUGGGGGCAUUAGUAUUGAGCUGUCAGAGGUGAAAUUCUUGGAUUUGCUCAAGACUAACAACUGCGAAAGCAUCUGCCAAGGAUGUUUUCAUUG